Molecule: long non-coding RNA, 399 nt
Filed under: Vigna radiata
Lineage: Eukaryota; Viridiplantae; Streptophyta; Magnoliopsida; Fabales; Fabaceae
Description: long non-coding RNA (VRAD_LNC018069)
Source: RNAcentral
GGUGCCACAGCCUCUAGGUCGUCGACGGUGGAAACGGCACGACUGACGCUGGAAGAGACUCGAAGAAUGACCGGUGGGAAGAGACGCAAAGUUGAUCGGUGGGAAGACACGCGAAGAUGAUCGGAGCUUGUGGGUGGUCCUCCGGUGCCGGUUAAACGGCGGUGAACGACGGUGUGGCAACGUCACGGAGCUUUGAUGGUUGGGAGGGAGGGAGACUUUCUCUCUCUAGGGUUUGGUCCAAAAUCUGAAAUUUGAAAAUGAAAUGUGAAUUCAAAAUGUUACAUUGCCCUCUCUGUCAGACACUAAUCCACAUCAUUUUAAAUUUUUUUUAUUUCAUUUAAAGCUGACCAAUCAGAGCGUGACAUGUCAUUGGUGUCAAAAAUUUGUCAUGAAGAGGUU